UUUUCUCAGGGUGUUCUUUGGUUUUCCCCCUCAGGCUUGCUCAGAAUCCUGGCUGUGGAAAAUGUGAACUUCCUGGGAGUGGAAGACACAACAGGCUCCCUCUUCCUGUUCUCUGGAAGGGCCUGCAGUGAGGGAGCCAGACAGCCACAUGGAGAGGUCACACUUAGGUGACCUGACCAGCCAUUCCAGCAGAGGGGAUCCCGGCUGACAGCUGCUGCCCACCGCCAGAGAGGUUUGUCAAGGAGAAGACUGCUUCCAGUUCAGUCCUCUUUACCCUGACAUGUAAAUUUUUUCCCCUCAGAUACUUAAAGGAUUUGAAACUUUAUCCCUGACAUCCUGAAAUUUUACCAGGGGAGAUUUAUAUAUGGUUCCUCUUACAUCUGUAGUGCUUGGUCCUCCGUGGGACCUUCUACCCCUAAGAUUAAAGAUAACUGUCCAUCUCUCACAUUUCCCACGUGAUUCAUCUUCUCCUCCUUCUUCUGGAAUAGCGCUGGGGAGGUUGUUUUGAAAUGGAGGCUUUUGGUGCAGCCACUCUGGAAAACAGUAUGGAGGUUCCUCAAAAAGAUGAAAAUAGAGCUACCCUGUAACCCACAAUUUCACUGCUGGGUAUUUACCCCAAAGAUACA
Long non-coding RNA from Zalophus californianus (California sea lion), 626 nucleotides. RefSeq lists it as uncharacterized. The record is from RefSeq and is a predicted model, not a curated record. The transcript is spliced from 3 exons. NCBI's taxonomy places the organism in Eukaryota, Metazoa, Chordata, Mammalia, Carnivora, Otariidae.